This 492-nucleotide ribosomal RNA is filed under the name uncultured bacterium. RNAcentral describes it as "bacterial SSU rRNA". It matches the Rfam family "Bacterial small subunit ribosomal RNA", at positions 30 to 533 of the family's 1533-position model. The record is from RNAcentral.
AUUGAACGCUGGCGGUAUGCUUAAGACAUGCAAGUCGAACGGUAACAGGUUAAGCUGACGAGUGGCGGACGAGUGAGUAACGCGUGGGAAUCUACCUUGUAGUGGGGGAUAAGCCAGGGAAACUUGGACUAAUACCGCAUACGCCCUAAGGGGAAAGGCGCAAGUCGCUAUAAGAUGAGCCCGCGUCUGAUUAGGUAGUUGGUGGGGUAAAGGCCUACCAAGCCGACGAUCAGUAGCUGGUCUGAGAGGAUGAUCAGCCACGUCGGGACUGAGACACGGCCCGGACUCCUACGGGAGGCAGCAGUCGGGAAUAUUGGACAAUGGGGGAAACCCGUGAUCCAGCAAUACCGCGUGUGUGAAGAAGGCCUGCGGGUUGUAAACUGCUUUUGUCGGGGAAGAAAUCUUCUGGGCUAAUACCCCGGGAGGAUGACGGUACCUGAAGAAUAAGCACCGGCUAACUACGUGCCAGCAGCCGCGGUAAGGAUGAGACGU